RNAcentral lists this long non-coding RNA (1545 nucleotides) under Taeniopygia guttata (zebra finch). RNAcentral's name for it is "lncRNA (ENSTGUG00000024483.1)". The record is from RNAcentral. Lineage: Eukaryota; Metazoa; Chordata; Aves; Passeriformes; Estrildidae.
GGCGGGGCCAGGUGUGUGGGCGUGGCCUGUCUGACCCCGCCCCUCCGCAGGAGGCGGGGCGGGCGCUGUGGGCGGAGCUUGAGGCCGCUCGGGCGGCCAAGGCGGGGGCGGAGCUCCGGGCCCGGGAGGUGGAGGCGCAGUGCCGGGCCCGGGGGGCGGAGCUGGAGCGGCUGCGGCAGGCGGUGCAGGCGGCCCGGCAGUCCCGGCGCCGGGCGGAGCAGGAGCGGGACCGGGUGGCGGCGGAGCUUGGCCACGCCCCCCGCGCCAGCGCCCCCGCCGGUGACCCCGCGGCGCUGGAGGAGCUGCGGGAGCAGAACCGGGACCUGCGGGAGCGGCCGGGACAGCGGCGGGGACAGGUGCAGCAGCUGCGGCGGGCCCGGGACCGCCCCGGGAGCCCUGGGACCACCGGGAUAACCGGAACCACCGGGACAACAACCGGGACAACAACCGGGACCACCGGGAUAUCAACUGGGAUAACCGGGACAACCGGGAUAACAGACGGGAUAACAGCCAGGACCACCGGGAUAACAACCGGGAUAACCGGGAGCACCGGGAAAACCGGGACCACCGGGAUAACCGGGACUCCCGGGAUAAGCGGGAUAACCGGGAUAACAACCGGGAUAACAACCGGGACCCCCGGGACUCCCGGGAUAACCGGGAGCGCCGGGAGCGCCGGGAGCGCCGGGAUAACCGGAACCACCAGGAUAACCGGGAUAACCGGGACAACAACCGGAAUAACCGGGAUAACCGGAGUGACCAGGAGCACCGGGACCCCCGGGACCGCCAGGAUAACCGGGAUAACAACCGGAAUAACCGGGAUAACCGGGAGCACCAGAAUAACCGGGAUAACCGGGAGCACCAGGAUAACCGGGAUAACAACCGGGAUAACAACCGGGAUAACCGGGAUAACCGAGUCCGCCCUGCGCGCCCGCUGCGCCCGCCUGGAGGAACUGCUGCGGAACGAGGCGGGGGCGCGGCUGGCGCUGGCCCGUGCCGCGCGUGUCACCGGGCGCCGCGUGCGGCUCCUGAUGGCCGAGGCUGAGGAGGAGCGGCUGAGAGGGGAGCGGUACCGGCAGCAGGUGGGACCCGUGUCACCUGUGUCACCUGUGUCACCUGUGUGUCACGUGUGUCACCCCUGUGUCACCUGUGUCACCUGUGUGUCACCUGUGUCAUCUGUGUCACCUGUCACCUGUGUGUCACCUGUGUCACCUGUGUGUCACCUGUCACCUGUGUGUCACCUGUGUGUCAUCUGUGUGUCACCUGUGUGUGUCACCUGUGUCACCUCUCACCCGUGUCACCUGUGUCACCUCUGUGUGUGUCACCUGUGUCACCUGUGUUACCUCUGUGUCACCUGUGUCACCUGUGUCACCUGUGUGUUACCUGUGUCACCUCUGUGUCACCUGUGUCACCUGUGUGUCAUCUCUGUGUCACCUGUGUGUGUCACCUGUGUCACCUGUGUCAUCUGUGUCUCACCUCUGUGUCACCUGUGUGGGUCACCUCUGUGUGUCACCUGUGUCACCUGUGUCACCUGUGUGUGUCACCUGU